This 260-nucleotide ribosomal RNA is filed under the name uncultured bacterium. Its description in RNAcentral is "partial 16S ribosomal RNA". It matches the Rfam family "Bacterial small subunit ribosomal RNA", at positions 793 to 1055 of the family's 1533-position model. The record is from RNAcentral.
GUCCACGCCGUAAACGUUGGGCACUAGGUGUGGGAGGCUGUCAACGCCUUCCGUGCCGUAGCUAACGCAUUAAGUGCCCCGCCUGGGGAGUACGGCCGCAAGGCUAAACUCAAAGGAAUUGACGGGGCCCGCACAAGCGGCGGAGCAUGUUGCUUAAUUCGAUGCAACGCGAAGAACCUUACCUGGGUUUGACAUGUAGGGAAAAGCCAUAGAGAUAUGGUGUCCUUCGGGGCCCUACACAGGUGGUGCAUGGCUGUCGU